CCUACGGGAGGCUGCAGUGGGGAAUAUUGGACAAUGGGCGAAAGCCUGAUCCAGCCAUGCCGCGUGUGUGAAGAAGGCCUUCGGGUUGUAAAGCACUUUCAGUGGGGAAGAAAGCCUUGGGGCUAAUACCCUCGAGGAAGGACAUCACCCACAGAAGAAGCACCGGCUAACUCCGUGCCAGCAGCCGCGGUAAUACGGAGGGUGCGAGCGUUAAUCGGAAUUACUGGGCGUAAAGCGCGCGUAGGCGGUCUGAUAAGCCGGUUGUGAAAGCCCCGGGCUCAACCUGGGAACGGCAUCCGGAACUGUCAGGCUAGAGGGCAGGAGAGGAAGGUAGAAUUCCCGGUGUAGCGGUGAAAUGCGUAGAGAUCGGGAGGAAUACCAGUGGCGAAGGCGACCUUCUGGACUGACACUGACGCUGAGGUGCGAAAGCGUGGGUAGCAAACAGGAUUAGAUACCCCUGUAGUC
Molecule: ribosomal RNA, 465 nt
Filed under: Vreelandella stevensii
Lineage: Bacteria; Pseudomonadati; Pseudomonadota; Gammaproteobacteria; Oceanospirillales; Halomonadaceae
Description: partial 16S ribosomal RNA
Rfam family: Bacterial small subunit ribosomal RNA
Source: RNAcentral